AGUGAACGCUGGCGGUAGGCCUAACACAUGCAAGUCGAACGGCAGCACAGUAAGAGCUUGCUCUUACGGGUGGCGAGUGGCGGACGGGUGAGGAAUACAUCGGAAUCUACUUUUUCGUGGGGGGUAACGUAGGGAAACUUACGCUAAUACCGCAUACGACCUACGGGUGAAAGCAGGGGAUCUUCGGACCUUGCGCGAUUGAAUGAGCCGAUGUCGGAUUAGCUAGUUGGCGGGGUAAAGGCCCACCAAGGCGACGAUCCGUAGCUGGUCUGAGAGGAUGAUCAGCCACACUGGAACUGAGACACGGUCCAGACUCCUACGGGAGGCAGCAGUGGGGAAUAUUGGACAAAGGGCGCAAGCCUGAUCCAGCCAUACCGCGUGGGUGAAGAAGGCCUUCGGGUUGUAAAGCCCUUUUGUUGGGAAAGAAAAGCAGCAGGUUAAUACCCCGCUGUUAUGACGGUACCCAAAGAAUAAGCACCGGCUAACUUCGUG
RNAcentral lists this ribosomal RNA (492 nucleotides) under uncultured bacterium. RNAcentral describes it as "partial 16S ribosomal RNA". It matches the Rfam family "Bacterial small subunit ribosomal RNA", at positions 29 to 507 of the family's 1533-position model. The record is from RNAcentral.